GCCCGCCUAGCUCAAUCGGAUAGAGCGUCAGACUCUUAGGCGGGUUAAAGUCAGGUGAUCUGAAGGCUGCGAGUUCGACCCUCGCGGUGGGCU
Transfer RNA from Dichomitus squalens LYAD-421 SS1, 93 nucleotides. It matches the Rfam family "tRNA". From Rfam's summary of the family: Transfer RNA (tRNA) molecules are approximately 80 nucleotides in length. Their secondary structure includes four short double-helical elements and three loops (D, anti-codon, and T loops). The record is from Rfam. NCBI's taxonomy places the organism in Eukaryota, Fungi, Basidiomycota, Agaricomycetes, Polyporales, Polyporaceae.